This 253-nucleotide ribosomal RNA is filed under the name uncultured bacterium. RNAcentral's name for it is "partial 16S ribosomal RNA". It matches the Rfam family "Bacterial small subunit ribosomal RNA", at positions 524 to 776 of the family's 1533-position model. The record is from RNAcentral.
GACGUAGGGGGCAAGCGUUGUCCGGAUUUAUUGGGCGUAAAGAGCGUGUAGGCGGCCAUACAGGUCAGCUGUGAAAACUCGAGGCUCAACCUCGAGACGUCGGUUGAAACCGUAUGGCUAGAGUCCGGAAGAGGAGAGUGGAAUUCCCGGUGUAGCGGUGAAAUGCGCAGAUAUCGGGAAGAACACCCGUGGCGAAGGCGGCUCUCUGGGACGGUAUUGACGCUGAGACGCGAAAGCGUGGGGAGCGAACAGG